This 457-nucleotide ribosomal RNA is filed under the name uncultured soil bacterium. RNAcentral describes it as "bacterial SSU rRNA". It matches the Rfam family "Bacterial small subunit ribosomal RNA", at positions 26 to 521 of the family's 1533-position model. The record is from RNAcentral.
AGAACGAACGCUGGCGGCAUGCCUAACACAUGCAAGUCGAACGAGGGCCCCGCUUCGGUGGGACCCUAGUGGCGCACGGGUGAGUAACGCGUGGGAACCUGCCCUGUGGUACGGAAUAACUCCGGGAAACUGGAGCUAAUACCGUAUGUGUCUUGAGGGACAAAGAUUUAUCGCCAUGGGAUGGGCCCGCGUAGGAUUAGCUUGUUGGUGGGGUAACGCCUACCAAGGCUUCGAUCCUUAGCUGGUCUGAGAGGAUGAUCAGCCACACUGGGACUGAGACACGGCCCAGACUCCUACGGGAGGCAGCAGUGGGGAAUAUUGGGCAAUGGGCGCAAGCCUGAUCCAGCAAUGCCGCGUGAGUGAUGAAGGCCUUCGGUUGUAAAGCUCUUUCGCACGCGACGAUGAUGACGGUAGCGUGAGAAGAAGCCCCGGCUAACUUCGUGCCAGCAGCCGCGGU